CAGUUAAAAAGCUCGUAGUUGGAUUUUGGUUAAGAGGGCGCGGUCGGCCGUUUGGUCUGUACUGCGUUGUCUUGACUUCCUGAUGAGGACAUGCUCUUGGUUAACGCUGAGACAUGGAGUCAUCGUGGUUACUUUGAAAAAAUUAGAGUGUUCAAAGCGGGCUUACGCUUGAAUAUAUUAGCAUGGAAUAACACUAUAGGACUCCUGUCCUAUCUCGUUGGUCUCGGGAUGGGAGUAAUGAUUAAGAGGAACAGUUGGGGGCAUUCGUAUUUCAUUGUCAGAGGUGAAAUUCUUGGAUUUAUGAAAGACGAACUUCUGCGAAAGCAUUUGCCAAGGAUGUUUUCAUUAAUCAAGAACGAAAGUUGGGGGCUCGAAGAUGAUUAGAUACCAUCCUAGUCUCAACCAUAAACGAUGCCGACUAGGGAUUGGUGGAUGUUAAUUGAUGACUUCACCAGCACCUUAUGAGAAA
RNAcentral lists this ribosomal RNA (469 nucleotides) under uncultured marine eukaryote. Its description in RNAcentral is "SSU rRNA". It matches the Rfam family "Eukaryotic small subunit ribosomal RNA", at positions 616 to 1097 of the family's 1831-position model. The record is from RNAcentral.